AGUGAACGCUGGCGGUAGGCCUAACACAUGCAAGUCGAACGGCAGCACAGUAAGAGCUUGCUCUUACGGGUGGCGAGUGGCGGACGGGUGAGGAAUACAUCGGAAUCUACUUUUUCGUGGGGGAUAACGUAGGGAAACUUACGCUAAUACCGCAUACGACCUACGGGUGAAAGCAGGGGAUCUUCGGACCUUGCGCGAUUGAAUGAGCCGAUGUCGGAUUAGCUAGUUGGCGGGGGAAAGGCCCACCAAGGCGACGAUCCGUAGCUGGUCUGAGAGGAUGAUCAGCCACACUGGAACUGAGACACGGUCCAGACUCCUACGGGAGGCAGCAGUGGGGAAUAUUGGACAAUGGGCGCAAGCCUGAUCCAGCCAUACCGCGUGGGUGAAGAAGGCCUUCGGGUUGUAAAGCCCUUUUGUUGGGAAAGAAAAGCAGCAGGUUAAUACCCCGCUGUUCUGACGGUACCCAAAGAAUAAGCACCGGGUAACUUCGUG
This 492-nucleotide ribosomal RNA is filed under the name uncultured bacterium. RNAcentral describes it as "partial 16S ribosomal RNA". It matches the Rfam family "Bacterial small subunit ribosomal RNA", at positions 29 to 507 of the family's 1533-position model. The record is from RNAcentral.